This is a long non-coding RNA of Oreochromis aureus, 687 nucleotides long. The record is from Ensembl. NCBI's taxonomy places the organism in Eukaryota, Metazoa, Chordata, Actinopteri, Cichliformes, Cichlidae.
UGGGGGCCCGGGCAGCCUGAUAACAGCGUAAACUGUGCCACAAUAGUCGGAUCAACGGGCUCCUUCCACAGUCAUAACUGUGGUGGCCAACGCCCCUUCCUCUGCUCCAGAGAUGUCAAACCUUCAGCCUCGAGGUCAGUGAAGGUUCAGCUGAGGGCAGGAUCUGCAGACCUGAACGACCCCACAGUGCAAGAAUCCAUCCUGCAGCAGGUGAGGGAGAAGCUGGUGGAGCAAGGGAUCAGAGAGGAGGUGAAGCUGAGGUGGAGGACGCAGCCUGAUGGGAAGAUUUUCCACAGAGAGGAGGAGACAGCCGGUGACAGUGAGGAGGAAGACUGUGGGUCGGUUUAGUCUGAACGUUAUUGGCUGAUGUUCCUCAGAUGAUCUGCUGUGUAAUUCAACUUAUUUCCGUCUCUGUACUCUGACUGCUGGACUGUAGCAGCGUAGCUUUGCAUGACUGACAGUUGGAAAUAAUCCUUCUUUAUCCUAAGCUCAGAUCACAGAGUGUCUGAUGAGCUGUUUUAUGCCUCUUUGUUUCUUCUGAUUGGUGAAGCUAAAGUUUGCAGGUGAGCAGGUGAGCGGACCUUCUGUGUCUAAAUGUUCAUGAUAUCCUGUCUCUACAUAUGAAAGUUCAAGCGGAGAACAAAGUGAACCUGAGUGUUCAGAGCAGUCUGAUGUCUGAGCUUUUUG